GCGUCCUCAGCGACGGACCGGGC
This 23-nucleotide small nuclear RNA is filed under the name Arabidopsis thaliana (thale cress). Its description in RNAcentral is "snRNA_12398". The record is from RNAcentral. Lineage: Eukaryota; Viridiplantae; Streptophyta; Magnoliopsida; Brassicales; Brassicaceae.